Molecule: long non-coding RNA, 350 nt
Filed under: Bos taurus (domestic cattle)
Lineage: Eukaryota; Metazoa; Chordata; Mammalia; Artiodactyla; Bovidae
Description: long non-coding RNA NONBTAT026637
Source: RNAcentral
GAUUUAAGGCACCAAAAUAUAGAGUUAAAAAAACGACAUAAAAAAAUGAAUUCUGAAAUUCAAAAGGUUGUAGGGGUAUCAAUUUUAAAAUAGACCACAUCCAUUAAGUCUGGAAGAAAUCACUUCUUUUAAAAAUCAGGAAGUACAGGAGGGAGGAAUCAAGAUAACCUAAUGUCAACCAACUACUGAAGUUAUCUUGGGCAUUGUCACCUUUUGGAUGUGUUCAAACAAGCUUCAAAAUUCAAUAGUGUCCUAAAGUACAACACACCAAAAAAAAAAUUAUAGGUAUCAACAUAAAAAUGUGUCAUACUGAAAAAAGGGCAGGCAUUAUUCUGUUUUCUGUUUGCAAC